AAUAUUGCCCUUCCCAGCUUGUGAAUGAAUGGUUCUGAGUAACUUUCCUUUCUCCAGGGAUGUUCAGCUGACUAUGACUUCAGCAAAGGCAGGUUUAUAGGAGCUGUGCAUAAAGUCCUGCCUUGAAGAAUUUUCUCAUUUUUAACCCUCAGGGCAAAUUAAAACCUGAUGUUUCAUACAAUGUAAUGCUUCAUGUGGCAGAACUCUGUCAAAAAGAAGGAGAGAAAAAACAAGGGCUAGGAUACCACUGUGUGCUUUAGAACUGCUGAUCUUUUUGGCCACAAAUGGAAAGGGAACUUUGAUGAUUCUCUUCCUACUUUGGACAGUAUUUGUGGUUUCAGUUUCAUCUUCCGUUAGAAAGCAGUUCAUGCACAUGGAGACAGCGGGUGUGAGGAGAACUGCUGAGUGCGCUGUCAGACUGGAUCCUGCUAUAUAUGGGAAGCGUGAAGUCCCCCAGAGCCACCAAUAUCAACUUACAUACAGCCAAGCUUACCCCACAUUUGACACCAACACCACAAUCCAGAUCUCAUUUUGCAAGGAAAAAAAAUGAUCCAGCAGGAUGUUCCCUGAGGAUGUCCUGGCAUCCCCCUAUCAGGAGGAGCAGGCUGUGGCCACACCACCUCUGACAACAGCUGGAUCUCUGAAGUGCACUGUUUUGCUGGAUGAUUUUGGUAAGGAAGCCAUGGGGAAGCCAGAGGACCGCUGGGAUUGACCAAAAUGAACAAACAAAAAAGCAGCAGCUCAGGCAACUUUGCAAGGGCAGACCCAGUUCUCGUGACUUCCUACAUGUGUUAGUGCUUUCACAUGGCAUUCUCUAUAAAACAAUUGACCUGGAGCUCGUGUCCCUGUCAUGGCCAUAUCUGUCCUGUGUACAUGCUUUUUUUGCAGUAUUCAUGCAGCUGGGUCCAAGAGGAGAGAAAUAAGGUUCACCCCAUUCACCUGUUAUUCAAAAGGACGUUGACCUCCCAGUCAGAUAAAUGAUUGAAAUGUUUCUGUCUAGUGCCCUUGAAAAUUGUUUGAGGAAAAUAAAGAGCAAAAUGUUGUA
Coturnix japonica (Japanese quail) is the source of this 1045-nucleotide long non-coding RNA. RefSeq lists it as uncharacterized. The record is from RefSeq and is a predicted model, not a curated record. Lineage: Eukaryota; Metazoa; Chordata; Aves; Galliformes; Phasianidae.